This 469-nucleotide ribosomal RNA is filed under the name uncultured bacterium. RNAcentral's name for it is "partial 16S ribosomal RNA". It matches the Rfam family "Bacterial small subunit ribosomal RNA", at positions 28 to 507 of the family's 1533-position model. The record is from RNAcentral.
GACGAACGCUGGCGGCGUGCUUAACACAUGCAAGUCGAACGGAAAGGCCCUGCUUGCAGGGUGCUCGAGUGGCGAACGGGUGAGUAACACGUGGGUGAUCUGCCCCUUACUUUGGGAUAAGCCUGGGAAACUGGGUCUAAUACUGGAUAGGACCAUGCUGUAGGUGGUGUGGUGGAAAGAUUAGUUUCGGUAAGGGAUGAGCUCGCGGCCUAUCAGCUUGUUGGUGGGGUAAUGGCCUACCAAGGCGUCGACGGGUAGCCGGCCUGAGAGGGUGGACGGCCACAUGGGGACUGAGAUACGGCCCAGACUCCUACGGGAGGCAGCAGUGGGGAAUAGUGCACAAUGGGCGCAAGCCUGAGGCAGCGACGCCGCGUGGGGGAUGACGGCCUUCGGGUUGUAAACUCCUUUCAGCCAUGACGAAGCCCUUGUGGUGACGGUAGUGGUAGAAGAAGCACCGGCUAACUACGUG